UACAGAGGGGGCAAGCGUUGUUCGGAAUUACUGGGCGUAAAGGGCGCGUAGGCGGCCUGCUAAGUCGAACGUGAAAUCCCUGGGCUCAACCCAGGAACUGCGUCCGAUACUGGUUGGCUUGAAUCCGGGAGAGGGAUGCGGAAUUCCAGGUGUAGCGGUGAAAUGCGUAGAUAUCUGGAGGAACACCGGUGGCGAAGGCGGCAUCCUGGACCGGCAUUGACGCUGAGGCGCAAAAGCCAGGGGAGCAAACGGG
RNAcentral lists this ribosomal RNA (253 nucleotides) under uncultured bacterium. RNAcentral describes it as "partial 16S ribosomal RNA". It matches the Rfam family "Bacterial small subunit ribosomal RNA", at positions 524 to 776 of the family's 1533-position model. The record is from RNAcentral.